AACGAACGCUGGCGGCAGGCCUAACACAUGCAAGUCGAGCGAGAACUCCGGUCCUAGCGGCGGUCGGGUGAGUAACGCGUGGGAACGUGCCCUUUGCCUCGGAAUAGUCCUUGGAAACUGGGAGUAAUAUCGGAUGAGUUCCUCGGGGGAAAGAUUCGACGUGGAAGGAACGGCCGGCGAUGGUUUAGGUGGUUGGUGUGGUAAUGGCCUAUCAAGCCGUCGCUCCAUAGCUGGGUUGAGAGGAUGGUCAGCCACACUGGGUCUGGGACACGGUCGAGACUCCUACGCGAGGCGGGAGUGGGGGAUCUUGGACAAUGGCGUAGGUCCUGAACGAGCCAUGCCGCGUGAGCGCUGAUGGCCUGAGGGUUGUGAAGCUCUUUAAGCUGGGGAGAUAAUGACGGUACCAGCAGAAGAAGCCCCGGCUAACUCCGUG
Molecule: ribosomal RNA, 433 nt
Filed under: uncultured bacterium
Lineage: Bacteria
Description: partial 16S ribosomal RNA
Rfam family: Bacterial small subunit ribosomal RNA
Source: RNAcentral